This 585-nucleotide long non-coding RNA is filed under the name Struthio camelus australis. RNAcentral describes it as "lncRNA (ENSSCUG00000010732.1)". Lineage: Eukaryota; Metazoa; Chordata; Aves; Struthioniformes; Struthionidae. The record is from RNAcentral.
GGGAAGGAUUGUUGGAGCUGCUCCAUCUGCUGAGAGACCAAAGUCUCUUCAUAGGAGUUUCCUAAGAAACAUCAGACCCCAAAACCAACAGAGCCAAUUGUGUGAUCCUUAUGAUCAAGCAACAUGACUCUCUAGUGAUACAAGGCAGCUUUUGUUUACAGACUGUGUUUUGUAUGCGUCCUGUCAAAUUAAGUCAGCGAACACAUCCACUGCCUAAAGCCGCCACGGUCCUGGCACGGGGUCGAGCAGGCAAGUAAAGCAUGUGGGGGAAGGGAGUAGCGCUGAAACCCUAUGAAUGUUUCAUCUCUUCCAGCCGCGAGUCCUCAUCACAAGUGUGAGAGCCAGGCGAGGAGGCAUCCAUCCCCCUUUAUCCUUGAAAUUACAGUGAAGGCAAGACAGAAAAAGGCAGAAGGAAUAUUUUUGAAGAACCUAAAGCCGAUAUGCCCCUCUAGCACUCAAGAGAUGCCUAUGACACUUUGGAAUCCAUUGUCCCCUGAAAUGCCGCCAGCACUAGCAUCAGUGAGAAGUGAGAUUCAGGGUAUUCAUAAUGAUCAGACAAGGAGUACCAAAGAUAUGGCAAUGUGA